This 1267-nucleotide ribosomal RNA is filed under the name Salmonella enterica. RNAcentral's name for it is "bacterial LSU rRNA". It matches the Rfam family "Bacterial large subunit ribosomal RNA", at positions 711 to 1874 of the family's 2925-position model. The record is from RNAcentral. RNAcentral also lists the same sequence under 9 other names. Lineage: Bacteria; Pseudomonadati; Pseudomonadota; Gammaproteobacteria; Enterobacterales; Enterobacteriaceae.
AGACCCGAAACCCGGUGAUCUAGCCAUGGGCAGGUUGAAGGUUGGGUAACACUAACUGGAGGACCGAACCGACUAAUGUUGAAAAAUUAGCGGAUGACCUGUGGCUGGGGGUGAAAGGCCAAUCAAACCGGGAGAUAGCUGGUUCUCCCCGAAAGCUAUUUAGGUAGCGCCUCGUGAAUUCAUCUCCGGGGGUAGAGCACUGUUUCGGCUAGGGGGCCAUCCCGGCUUACCAACCCGAUGCAAACUGCGAAUACCGGAGAAUGUUAUCACGGGAGACACACGGCGGGUGCUAACGUCCGUCGUGAAGAGGGAAACAACCCAGACCGCCAGCUAAGGUCCCAAAGUCAUGGUUAAGUGGGAAACGAUGUGGGAAGGCCCAGACAGCCAGGAUGUUGGCUUAGAAGCAGCCAUCAUUUAAAGAAAGCGUAAUAGCUCACUGGUCGAGUCGGCCUGCGCGGAAGAUGUAACGGGGCUAAACCAUGCACCGAAGCUGCGGCAGCGAACGUAUCACCCAAGACAACUUUACGGAGUUGACGAUUGACGGAGCGAAGCGACGUCAAAGCGUUCAUUAAAGUCGAGUUGGCUUAGGGAUACGUUCGUUGGGUAGGGGAGCGUUCUGUAAGCCUGUGAAGGUGUGUCGUGAGGCAUGCUGGAGGUAUCAGAAGUGCGAAUGCUGACAUAAGUAACGAUAAAGCGGGUGAAAAGCCCGCUCGCCGGAAGACCAAGGGUUCCUGUCCAACGUUAAUCGGGGCAGGGUGAGUCGACCCCUAAGGCGAGGCCGAAAGGCGUAGUCGAUGGGAAACGGGUUAAUAUUCCCGUACUUGGUGUUACUGCGAAGGGGGGACGGAGAAGGCUAUGUUGGCCGGGCGACGGUUGUCCCGGUUUAAGCGUGUAGGUGUGUGUUCCAGGUAAAUCCGGUUCACUUUAACACUGAGGCGUGACGACGAGGCACUACGGUGCUGAAGCAACAAAUGCCCUGCUUCCAGGAAAAGCCUCUAAGCAUCAGGUAACACGAAAUCGUACCCCAAACCGACACAGGUGGUCAGGUAGAGAAUACCAAGGCGCUUGAGAGAACUCGGGUGAAGGAACUAGGCAAAAUGGUGCCGUAACUUCGGGAGAAGGCACGCUGACACGUAGGUGAAGUGAUUUACUCAUGGAGCUGAAGUCAGUCGAAGAUACCAGCUGGCUGCAACUGUUUAUUAAAAACACAGCACUGUGCAAACACGAAAGUGGACGUAUACGGUGUGACGCCUGCCCGGUGCCGGAA